GACAGAGGUGCCAAGCGUUAGGCGGAAUCACUGGGCUUAAAGCGUGUGUAGGCGGACCGUUAAGUACCUUGUGAAAUCCCACGGCUCAACCGUGGAACUGCUGGGUAUACUGGCGAUCUUGAGCCACCUAGGGGCGAGCGGAACAAGCGGUGGAGCGGUGAAAUGCGUAGAUAUCGCUUGGAACGCCAAUGGUGAAAACAGCUCGCUGGGGGUGUGCUGACGCUGAGACACGAAAGCCAGGGGAGCGAACGGG
RNAcentral lists this ribosomal RNA (253 nucleotides) under uncultured bacterium. Its description in RNAcentral is "partial 16S ribosomal RNA". It matches the Rfam family "Bacterial small subunit ribosomal RNA", at positions 524 to 776 of the family's 1533-position model. The record is from RNAcentral.